Molecule: ribosomal RNA, 461 nt
Filed under: uncultured bacterium
Lineage: Bacteria
Description: bacterial SSU rRNA
Rfam family: Bacterial small subunit ribosomal RNA
Source: RNAcentral
GGCCGCGGGAAUUCGAUUCAGGCCUAACACAUGCAAGUCGAGCGGUAGAGAGAAGCUUGCUUCUCUUGAGAGCGGCGGACGGGUGAGUAAUGCCUAGGAAUCUGCCUGGUAGUGGGGGAUAACGUUCGGAAACGGACGCUAAUACCGCAUACGUCCUACGGGAGAAAGCAGGGGACCUUCGGGCCUUGCGCUAUCAGAUGAGCCUAGGUCGGAUUAGCUAGUUGGUGAGGUAAUGGCUCACCAAGGCUACGAUCCGUAACUGGUCUGAGAGGAUGAUCAGUCACACUGGAACUGAGACACGGUCCAGACUCCUACGGGAGGCAGCAGUGGGGAAUAUUGGACAAUGGGCGAAAGCCUGAUCCAAAGAGGCCGCGUGUGUGAAGAAGGUCUUCGGAUUGUAAUUCAAUGUAAGUUGGGAGGAAGGGCAUUAACCUAAUACGUUAGUGUUUGACGUACCGACA